Molecule: ribosomal RNA, 253 nt
Filed under: uncultured bacterium
Lineage: Bacteria
Description: partial 16S ribosomal RNA
Rfam family: Bacterial small subunit ribosomal RNA
Source: RNAcentral
UACAGAGGAGCCAAGCGUUGUCCGGAUUGACUGGGCGUAAAGCGCACGCAGGCGGACGCGCGCGUGGGGUGUGAAAUCUGGCCGCUUAACGGCCAGGCGCCAUCCCAUACGGCGCGUCUGGAGUGAUGCAGAGGUCGAUGGAAUUGCCGGUGUAGUGGUGAAAUGCGUAGAGAUCGGCAGGAACACCCAGGGGGAAACCAGUCGACUGGGCAGCACCUGACGCUGAGGUGCGAGAGCGUGGGGAGCGAACCGG